RNAcentral lists this non-coding RNA (29 nucleotides) under Homo sapiens (human). Lineage: Eukaryota; Metazoa; Chordata; Mammalia; Primates; Hominidae. The record is from RNAcentral.
UGGUGAUCAAAGUGUAGUCAUUCUGUUGC